UCCCUGGUGGCUUGGCUGGUAAAGUAUCUACCUGCAGAGCAGGAGGCCCGGGUUCAAUCCCUGGGUCGGGAA
Transfer RNA from Ovis aries (sheep), 72 nucleotides. It matches the Rfam family "tRNA". Rfam says of the family: Transfer RNA (tRNA) molecules are approximately 80 nucleotides in length. Their secondary structure includes four short double-helical elements and three loops (D, anti-codon, and T loops). Further hydrogen bonds mediate the characteristic L-shaped molecular structure. tRNAs have two regions of fundamental functional importance: the anti-codon, which is responsible for specific mRNA codon recognition, and the 3' end, to which the tRNAs corresponding amino acid is attached (by aminoacyl-tRNA synthetases). tRNAs cope with the degeneracy of the genetic code in two manners: having more than one tRNA (with a specific anti-codon) for a particular amino acid; and 'wobble' base-pairing, i.e. permitting non-standard base-pairing at the 3rd anti-codon position. Lineage: Eukaryota; Metazoa; Chordata; Mammalia; Artiodactyla; Bovidae. The record is from Rfam.